This 73-nucleotide transfer RNA is filed under the name Camelus bactrianus (Bactrian camel). It matches the Rfam family "tRNA". Rfam says of the family: Transfer RNA (tRNA) molecules are approximately 80 nucleotides in length. Their secondary structure includes four short double-helical elements and three loops (D, anti-codon, and T loops). The record is from Rfam by way of RNAcentral. RNAcentral also lists the same sequence under 2 other names. Lineage: Eukaryota; Metazoa; Chordata; Mammalia; Artiodactyla; Camelidae.
GAGGGUAUAGCUCAAGUGGUAGAGUACAUGCUUAGCAUGCACGAGGUCCUGGGUUCAAUUCCCCAUACCUCCU